AGAGUUUGAUCCUGGCUCAGGAUGAACGCUAGCGGCAGGCCUAAUACAUGCAAGUCGAACGGUGAUAGCAAUAUCAUAGUGGCGCACGGGUGCGUAACACGUAUGCAACCUACCUUAUACUGAGGGAUAGCCUUUCGAAAGGGAGAUUAAUACCUCAUAACACAUUGAACUGGCAUCAGUUUAUUGUUAAAGAUUUAUUGGUAUAAGAUGGGCAUGCGUCCAAUUAGUUAGUUGGCGAGGUAACGGCUCACCAAGACGAUGAUUGGUAGGGGAACUGAGAGGUUAAUCCCCCACACUGGCACUGAGAUACGGGCCAGACUCCUACGGGAGGCAGCAGUAGGGAAUAUUGGGCAAUGGAGGCAACUCUGACCCAGCCAUGCCGCGUGCGGGAAGAAGGCGUUAUGCGUUGUAAACUGCUUUUAUAUAGGAAGAAAUAGUCCUUGCGAGGAAAGUUGACGGUACUAUAUGAAUAAGCACCGGCUAACUCCGUGCCAGCAGCCGCGGUGAUACAUAGGCUUCAAGCGUUGUCCGGAUUUAUUGGGCGUAAAGAGUUCGUAGGCGGU
Molecule: ribosomal RNA, 563 nt
Filed under: uncultured bacterium
Lineage: Bacteria
Description: bacterial SSU rRNA
Rfam family: Bacterial small subunit ribosomal RNA
Source: RNAcentral